This 2612-nucleotide long non-coding RNA is filed under the name Equus caballus (horse). Its description in RNAcentral is "lncRNA (ENSECAG00000052516.1)". The record is from RNAcentral. Lineage: Eukaryota; Metazoa; Chordata; Mammalia; Perissodactyla; Equidae.
AGAACAUUCUAAUGGGAACUCAGUGUUCUGGUUUGCCAGCAUCCUCAGCAGCCAGGCCUCACAGCCCCAGUGAGGAACUUUAUGGGGACUGAAGGCUUCCUUCUCCCCUUCUCUUACGGAAACAAGGGGAGAGCCAGCUGUCUUACCAUCAGCCACAUCCAGAUAAACGUGAGCAGUCCGGUCAGGUGUGCGGCAGGGAAGCCACACUGCAGGCCCACAGUCCGUCUGUAUACGUGCCCAACUCGUCCAUAAGUUCCACCGGAAGAACGGGGCAGACCUGGUCACCGCUCUCCAUCAGGAUGUGUGACAAGCAGGCACCUGCCAUCUCACUUUGGACUUUGGCCAUUCAGCUUGACCAGAAUUCAGGCCAGCAGACCGCUUGUGCUCCCCAGCAGCAGGCCCAGGUGGGGAAGCAUCUGUGCUCCCAGAGGUGGCUCGGAGCCAGACCCUCCAAGCCGACCUGAGGCACAAUAGCAUUGUCCAGCCAUAAGCAAUGGCUUAUCGACCAGUCUCCACCAAGCGGGAUGCGGCUAUGAAAGCAUUUUCUCUGACCACCAUCUCCAAGAGUGCAAUGCUGAAUGCCCCUUCCUCGUGAGGAGUCUGUGCUGUAAGGGCCUCUUGGGCAGAUUCUAAAACCUUCAGGUUAUUUCAGUCGUUAAAAUUGCAUCCAGUUUGAAACUCCCAUCUCAUACGCAACUUGGAGCUUCCUCCCUGCCCAGCUCUGGCCAGGCUUAUGUUUCAAGGGACCCAGGGAGAAGUGGAUCUGUUCUGUCCUCCCCUCCCUUCUCUCUUUGGAGUAGGGCCUCUCCCACCUCCAAGACACCCCCUCCCUCUUCUUCCGUAGCUUUCCUCCGGGAGGCCGUGCUGAGAUGCAAACCCAAGGCUGUCUGGCUCCGAGGGCCAUGUUCUCAUACCCUGCUCCUCUGCCUCCAUGCGGCCCUCAUCCACAGAGAGGCAGUCAGGCUGGGCGUCAGACCCAACAUCAAAGGAUGGGGCUUGUGUCUCGGGGAGCAGCUCAGCCAAAACUAUGGGUGAGCAUUAGGGGGAUGGCUGGCUAAGUUCCCGGUUAAAGUUCCACAUCUGCCACUUCAAAGUUACUGAAACUUUGAGAAGAGGUCACUGCGGACUGAGGUCAUCAAGGAGAACCUCGUGGAGAAGGUGAGGGCCCUUGGAAGCUACUGUUUUUUGAUCGCUAACUGUGUGCCAAGCACUGUUCUGGGAACUUGACAUUCACGAACACAUUUUAUCCUUUCAACAACCUCAUGAGCUUGAAGGGGCCUGGAGGAAACGUCGUGGUGUCAUUUAGGAGAGAGUGACUUUGAAGAGCCUGUGGGUCAUCCAGGUGGGAGACGUCCAGCGUGGCUGGGGCUGGAAAUGCCGACCUCAGGUCUCCAGUAUCUCAGCGGGUGGAAGUCACCAUUGGCUGGACACACCCAGCUCCACCUCACUAACACUGCAGCGCCAGCACCUCCUCCAAGAUGAGAGCAGCCCAGCCCCCACACCCCAGCCCACCUGCAGAACCACAGGCCUUCCAAGCUUUCAUUCUGCGUGUCUUGCGUGUGUCAUCGAGUCCCCAGAUUUGAAGAGGAGAGUGAACUGGAGUGUGGACCUCCUCGCUCGCAGCCGGUGACUUCUUUCCUCUACAGUGAGUGGCCAAAAGCAGGUGGCUUCAAAGGUGAAUUAAUUCUCUGCUGGAAAAAUUGAGCUGUAAAAGUCUAGCGAUUGGGAACCUAGACUCUGCGGCAGCAGGAACAUGUUUCAGACGCCAAAGCCAGGAACUUGGACCCCGUUCUGGAACAGCCAGACGCACACAGCCCCGAGACGCCUUUCAGUGAGGCUGGAAAUGAGGCUAAAUUGCACAAAAGAUGGUGCUCUCACCACCAGCUCUCCCAAGACAGACCCUCCUCCAUGGCUGCUGACACUUCUUGUUCUCUGAGAGGCGCUCAUCCACCCUACAGCCUGACCAGUGUCCUCUGAGCUUCCUGGAAGAGGAGCAAAGAGCCCGGUCCCAACACUUCUCAGGUGCGCUUUCUAACACCAGGUUCCCAGAGACCUCCUGCUGUCCCAGUGCCUCCUGUCCUCUUGGUCUCUUUCCAGGGCUCAGCGCCCAACCUGCCUUGUCUCAACGGAGCCAAAGCAAGGCCUUCCUGGAGAGUCGGUGAGGUUCCUUCCCGUGGCUGCGUUCAUGUCCCCAAAGUCUGUGGUCCUUGGGCCAUUCAGUCCUCUCAUGUUGUCUCAACAACUGAGCCAACUGUUUCUUCUAAGUGGAUUCAACUUCCAACCCGAUCGGCCUCCUUCCCAAGAAGUCCCAAGUGGCGGGGGAGGCGCGACACUACAGAGGCAGCCCCCACCCCACCACUGUCACCGCAGGGACUGGCCACAGGCCUGCAUGUUGUUGUGUGUCACCGGUGGACAGCGGCCCGUGGAAAGGCAGUGGGGGCCACAAGAGAGUUCACUCCCCUGAUGUGCUGACCGUCUGCUGCGUCAGGACACUGCCCAAGGCUCCCAGGUGACAGUGCUAAGGACAGCACUUCUGAUGGCCACAGCACCCAGCCAUUCAUUACUGUGAUGUCCCCAUCACUGAGCCUACUGAUGAGAUUAUUGAUCCCAGG